GUCGAACGCUGGCGGCAUGCCUAAUACAUGCAAGUAGAACGCAGUUGCGAACGGGUGAGUAAUGCGUAGGUAACGGCCUCGUAGCGGGGGAUAAGUAUUGGAAACCAUAGCUCAUACACCAUCCUGUGAGAUGGACAUGCGUUGUAUUAGGUAGUUGGUGAGGUAAAGGGCCACCAAGGCGACGAUACAGAGCCGACCUGAGAGGGUUAGUGCGCACACCGGGAAUGAGACAAGGCCCCGACUCCCACGGGAGGCAGCAGUAGGGAAACUUCGGCAAUGGACGGAAGUCUGACCGAACAACGCCGGGGGAGUGGAGAAAGUUUUCGGGUCGUAAAGCUCUGUUGUGAGAGAAGCGUUAACUACACAAAAAGGGACGGCUAACUACGUGCCAGCAGCCGCGGUAAUUC
This 407-nucleotide ribosomal RNA is filed under the name uncultured bacterium. RNAcentral's name for it is "partial 16S ribosomal RNA". It matches the Rfam family "Bacterial small subunit ribosomal RNA", at positions 28 to 526 of the family's 1533-position model. The record is from RNAcentral.